CCUACGGGCUGCAGCAGUAGGGAAUCUUCCGCAAUGGACGAAAGUCUGACGGAGCAACGCCGCGUGAGUGAUGAAGGUUUUCGGAUCGUAAAGCUCUGUUGUUAGGGAAGAACAAGUACCGUUCGAAUAGGGCGGUACCUUGACGGUACCUAACCAGAAAGCCACGGCUAACUACGUGCCAGCAGCCGCGGUAAUACGUAGGUGGCAAGCGUUGUCCGGAAUUACUGGGCGUAAAGGGCCCGCAGGCGGUUUCUUAAGUCUGAUGUGAAAGCCCCCGGCUCAACCGGGGAGGGUCAUUGGAAACUGGGGAACUUGAGUGCAGAAGAGGAGAGUGGAAUUCCACGUGUAGCGGUGAAAUGCGUAGAGAUGUGGAGGAACACCAGUGGCGAAGGCGACUCUCUGGUCUGUAACUGACGCUGAGGAGCGAAAGCGUGGGGAGCGAACAGGAUUAGAUACCCGCGUAGUC
This 466-nucleotide ribosomal RNA is filed under the name uncultured bacterium. RNAcentral's name for it is "bacterial SSU rRNA". It matches the Rfam family "Bacterial small subunit ribosomal RNA", at positions 338 to 795 of the family's 1533-position model. The record is from RNAcentral.